This 336-nucleotide unclassified non-coding RNA is filed under the name soil metagenome. Its description in RNAcentral is "partial contains 5.8S ribosomal RNA, internal transcribed spacer 2, and large subunit ribosomal RNA". The stretch from base 1 to 120 matches the Rfam family "5.8S ribosomal RNA", at positions 35 to 154 of the family's 154-position model. The record is from RNAcentral.
GAUGAAGAACGUAGCGAAAUGCGAUAAGUAAUGUGAAUUGCAGAAUUCAGUGAAUCAUCGAAUCUUUGAACGCACAUUGCGCCCGCCAGUAUUCUGGCGGGCAUGCCUGUUCGAGCGUCAUUUCAACCAUCAAGCCCCAGGCUUGUGUUGGGGACCUGCGGCUGCCGCAGACCCUGAAAACCAGUGGCGGGCUCGCUGUCACACCGGGCGUAGUAGAUUUUAUCUCGCUCAGGGCGUGCUGCGGGUUCCGGCCGUUAAAAAGCCUUUUUUACCCAAGGUUGACCUCGGAUCAGGUAGGAAUACCCGCUGAACUUAAGCAUAUCAAUAAGCGGAGGA